This 269-nucleotide ribosomal RNA is filed under the name uncultured bacterium. Its description in RNAcentral is "partial 16S ribosomal RNA". It matches the Rfam family "Bacterial small subunit ribosomal RNA", at positions 88 to 354 of the family's 1533-position model. The record is from RNAcentral.
CCGGCGACCGGCGCACGGUGAGUAACACGUAUGAAACCUGCCCGUAGCAGGGGGAUAAGCGGAAGAAAUUCCGUCUAAUACCGCGUAACAACCCAUGGAGGCAUCUCUGUGGGUUUAAAGGAAGCGAUUCCGGCUACGGAUGGUCAUGCGUCGCAUUAGCUUGUUGGCGGGGUAACGGCCCACCAAGGCGACGAUGCGUAGGGGUUCUGAGAGGAAGGUCCCCCACACUGGUACUGAGACACGGACCAGACUCCUACGGAAGGCAGCAG